Molecule: long non-coding RNA, 8204 nt
Organism: Mirounga angustirostris (Northern elephant seal)
Lineage: Eukaryota; Metazoa; Chordata; Mammalia; Carnivora; Phocidae
Exons: 3
Source: RefSeq, a predicted model, not a curated record
ACCAACUGAGCCACCCAGGUGCCCCAAGUCCCGUUUUUGUAAGCCCACACUAGAUGCAAGAUAGAAGCAGAAAAAUACGUUUUAUGGUAAGUACGCUAGCUUCAUUUUUUUAAUGCUCUAAAACAGUGGUUCUCCGACUUAGCUGUUCUCCUGGGAGCUUUGUAAACAGACAAACUUCCAGACUCUGCCCCCAAAGAUUCUGACUCUAGGUCUGUGUUAGGGCCUGGGAAUCUAUUUGAAAUAUUUUUAGCUACAGAAAGGACAGAGAACAAACUAACAUAGGUAACUACAGCUUUAAUAAGAGGAGUGAUCUUUUCAAAAUGUGCAUUUGAUCAUGUCAUCUCCCUACCUAAAAUCCUUCCAUGUGUUUUGAUAAAGACUAAAUCUUUAGUUGGCCCGCAAACCCCAGCAGCUUCAAACACUGACUGCUUGUUCCGGCCCCACCUCUAUACUAGCCACAUCUACUAGCAUUCGGAUCUUCAAAGGGGCCAUGUUCCCUUUUCUCAGGUUGUUGCCACGUCCUUUCUGUCUCUGCCCCCUCUCCCUGCCAACACACACUCUUUCUAGGGCCGAGCAGAGUACAGUGCCUGGCAUGUACUGGGCAGUCAAAUAUCUGGAGAAUGAAUGGCUAGCUGGAUAAAAGGGAACUGACACUAGUAAGUUACUUAUAGGGAGAUAGAUUCGGGAUUCAGGAGAUCGAGAGAGUUCCCAGGUAUUUUUACCAUGUAGUAGAACAUGAGGUGAUUGAUUUACUAAAAUAAGAAAGAGGAGGAGGUGGCUUGAGAAAGUCGUGAAGGUUUGAAACAGGUGUGAUGAAAAGCGGGAGACAGCUUACUGGGGACCCCGUCACAGAUGCUCAUUUGACAUUUCCCGAGUGUCUGCUGUGUGCUCCCUGCAUGAACUUGCUGGGCAGCAUGGAGGGCGGUUGCUGUGGGAGAUCGAGCUUGUAAUGGAACCAACCCACGAGGGAGUGAUCUCCUCCGUUCAGCAGUACUCAGCUGCUUGGAUGAAUGAGCUAGAACAGUGUUGUGGGGUAGGGAUGAUGGAUGACCAUGGAAGCGAUUGGGAGUCUGAGUCCAAGAGGGUUUGUGGUCUGGGCCACAUAGAGAAAUGAGUAUAAAAGUGGCCUAUUGGGGCAUCUGGCUAGCUCAGAGGAUAGAGCGUGCGACCCUUGAUCUCAGGGUCAUAAGUUCAAGCCCCACAUUUGGUGUAGAGCUUACUUUAAAAAAAAAAAAGGUGGCCUAUUAGAUUGAGAGACUAUAGAAAGUCAUCAACAGGCUUGGGUCUCGAGGUUGAAGAAGUAAGAUAGUUGGAGAAAAUAGUGCAUUUGAGAUUAAAAUUUCAAAGGAUAUAGAGGAAGACAGGAACUAGGUUGAGUGGCCAUGAGAGUGAAUGAUUGAAAGGGUAGGGAGGUGAAGGUUAUUGGAUCUGAGGAGAAUGUUCCUUAGGGCUUUUUCAGUUGCAAAUAGCAAAAAUCUGACUAAAACUGGCUAACCAAUAAAGAGGAUUCGUUGGCUUAUGCAAUUGAAAAGUCAAGAGGUAGGGUGGGAUUCAAGUUCAUUUUGAUCCAGAGAUUUCAUGACAUCGCAAAGGGAUUUUCUAAUUUUCUUGUCACUGUCCUCCAUUUGUUAGCUUCUUACUUGGAUUCCCCCGCUGAGCUGCACAGGUAUCACAUCCUUAUACCACAAGAGGAAGAGAGGGAGCUUUUCUUUUUUUAAUUUGGAAGUAUUUAUUAUUAUUAUUUUUAAAUAGGCUUUACGUCCAACAUGGGGCUUGAACUCAUGACCCUGAGAUUAGGAGUCUCAUGCUCUACUGACUGAGCCAGCCAGGCGCAGCAGAGUGAGCUUUUCUUCACCAUUGGAAUCAGUUCCUGAACUUCACUCUAACUAGACUGACAGAAAAAUGCCCAUCAACCCUUGAAUUAAUCACCAUGACUAGGGAAAUAACGUGCCCUGUUUGGCUUGGGCAUGGGGGUUUUGCCCGCCCCUGUGACAAAGAGGAUGGUGUUACUCUGACGGGCCAGUCAGGGUUUGUCUGCCAUUGGAGGUGUAUUGGAGUCAGUCCAAAUGGGGAGGAGUAGAAAGGACAUUGGGGAGGGAACCUACAUUGUCCACCCCAGUGAGGAACUAUGAUGUUAAUUAUUGCCUUAUACAUUGAAGACGCCAGGAUGGCAACAGUAUUCCGGGUGCCAUACCCUUCAGUAACUAUUGAGUGCCUGUGUAUUUAGUGAAUGACAGAGAUGAGAGAAGGUAGAGACGGUGUAUCAGAUUGGCAUCAACUCCAAAGGAGCUGAGAUUUUUACUGCUCUGAGAGUAACAGUGGGGAAGCAGCAUUGGGAUGCAAGGAGAAUGUGGACCCCACCUCCCAGUAUAAGAAUAUGGGGUUCACGGAAGGGAGCAGUCUCCCCUUGAGGGUGCUCCAGGUGAGUGAGGUCUCUUGGGAGGUAAGCCAGAUUUCAGAGGAGGCCAGAGUGAGCUUUGUGUAAAUAAAGGUAAAGAAUUUUAAGGGGUAGAGUGGGUUGGAAGUGUUAUGUAGACAUAGGUUUGCAGAGGUGAUAUAAGGCCCCUCAGAUGCUCUCUUAGCUCCCCUUUAUUCUUUGUACCUUUCUUAUGUUCAGUUUUGUGUAUAUAAUCACUCUUAUUUGCCUGAUCCUAGAUUUUUAGUCCUUUUUCUUCUUUUUUUUUUUUUUUUAAGAUUUUUAUUUAUUUAUUUAUUUGAGAGAGAGAGAAGGAGAGACAGUGAGAGAGCACAAGCGGGGUGGAGAGGGAGAAGUGGGCUCCCUGCAGAGCAAGGAGCCCGAUGCAGGGCUCGAUCCCAGGACCCUGGGACCAUGACCUGAGCUGAAGGCAGACACUUAACCGACUGAGCCACCCAGGCGCCCCCUUUUUCUUCUUUCUAUUGAGGUAUAAUGGACAUGUAACAUUAGUUUUAGGUGUGUAACGUGAUUCUGUAUUUUUAUACAUUGUGAGAUAAUCACCACAAUGAGUUUUUGGUUUUUUUUUAAGAUUUUAUUUAUUUAUUUGACAGAGAGAGAGAGAGGGAACACAAGCAGGGGGAACAGCAGAGGGAGAGGGAGAAGCAGGCUUCCCGCAGAGCAAGGAGCCCGAUGUGGGGCUCGAUCCCAGGACCCCGGGAUCAUGACCUGAGCCGAAGACAGAUGCUUAACCGACUGAGCCACCCAGGCACCCCACCACAAUGAGUUUUAAUUAACGUCCAUCACCACACAUAGUUAGAAAAAAAUUUUUUUCUUAUGAUGAAAACUCACCUCUAAUCUUAGCAACUUUCAAAUAUGCACUACAGUAUUAUUAACUAUAGUUCCCAUGCACAUGUACAUUACAUCUCCAGGACUUAUUCAUUUUAUAACUGGAAGUUUGUUCCUUUUGACCCUCUUCGCCUAUUUCUCCUACAAUCGGAGCUGUCCCUCCCCUCCCCUCACAACCAUUCUGUUUUCUGAAUCUGUGAGCUCAGUGUUUUGUUUUUACAGUUAAGUGAGGUCAUACAGUAUUUGCCUUUUUUUUUUUUAAGAUUUUAUUUAUUUAUUUGACAGAGAGAGACACAGCGAGAGAGGGAACACAAGCAGGGGGAAUGGGAGAGGGAGAAGCAGGCUUCCCAAGGAGCAGGGAGCCCGAUGCGAGGCUCGAUCUAAGGACCCUGGAAUCCCAACCCCAGCAGAAGGCAGACGCUUAACCGACUGAGCCCCCCCCAGGCGCCCCUUGAGUAGGCCUUUUUUUUUUUUCUUUAAAGAUUUUAUUUAUUUAUUUGACAGAGACACAGCAAGAGAGGGAACACAAGCAGGGAGAGUGAGAGAGGGAGAAACAGGCUUCCCGCGUAGCAGGGAGCACGAUGCAGGACUCAGUCCCAGGACCCUGGGAUCAUGACCCGAGCCGAAGGCAGACGCUUCACGACUGAGCCACCCAGGCGCCCCAGUAUUUGCCUUUCUCUGACUUAACUUCAUUUAGCAUAAUGCCCUAGAGGUCCAUCCAUAUUGUUGCAAGUGGCAGGUUUUCCUUUUUUUUUUAAUGGCUAAAUAAUAUUUCAUUGUAUGUAUAUGCCGCAUGAUCCUAAUUUUUAAAAUAUGUAUUCCUUAAUCAAGUUAGUUUUUCCUCCUUAUGUUGGUCACCUCAUGGCCUUAAAGAAGGCUGCUUCAGCUCCAGGCGUCACAUCCUUCCUACAGUGACCCAACUAGAAAGGAAGGAGGCAGUGAGGGCUUUCUUCUGUUGACACUCCAGUCCCCAACUGAGUUCCUCUUACAUCUUACUGACUAAAGCUGGGGCUACACAGAGCCACCCCAAGUUACAGGGGAGGCUGGGAAAGAGUAUCUAGCAGAGAGGAUCGUGAUGAGCGCCCCAGGGCCGGCACGCUGCCACCAGGAAUGCUCUGGGAUUCCGUAUGUCGGGAAGAGGGGAAACGGCUGUUGGGCAGUCGACGGUACUGCCACACCCAGUGGACCACAGCCCGUUGGGCCUGUAAAGCCACAUUUCUUUUUUUUUUUUUUUAAAGAUUUUUAUUUAUUAUUUAUUUGACAGAGAUAGAGAGCACAAGUAGGCAGAGAGGCAGGCAGAGGGAGAGGGAGAAGCAGGCUCCCCACCGAGCAGGGAGCCCGAUGCGGGACUCGAUCCCAGGACCCUGAGAUCAUGACCUGAGCCGAAGGCAGUCACUUAACCGACUGAGCCACCCAGGUGCCCCGCCACAUUUCAAGAGAGUAGUAUUUGUGGGGUGCCUGGCGAGCUCCGAACCUAUGACUCCUGAUCUUGGCUUGUGAGUUCGAGCCCCACACGGAGGGUAGAGAUUAGUUAAAUAAAUAAAACUUAAAAAAAAAAAAAAAAGAGGGUCAUAUUUGCAGACAUUGGUGACAGUGUCCCCGUACGCAUUGGUAUCUACCUUUCUCCGGAAGAGGCAGGCAUCCUGUAUGUGUUAGUGUCCAAGGCCGGCUGUUUGAGAAGUAACAGAUGUACAUUUGUUUAAUUCUUGUGAUUAAUGACCCUUAAUUUGUUCCAUCUUUGUCUAUAUAAGUACAACAAUGUACUGAAUUGUGUCUCGUCUUGCAUUUAGUAUGUAGAUCAGUACCUCCUCCCUUAUAUGCCCCUAACUGGCAAAGGUUGGGAAAGAUUAGGGACCUUCUGGAUGGGAGAAUUUGUGCCAUGUCCUCUAGUUUUCUGGAAAUGUAAUUACUUGAAUGAUGAACUAGACCAAGAGUGCUUCUUAACCAACUGAGCCACCCAGGCGCCCAGACCAAGAGUGCUUCUUAAAAUCACACAUUGCAAGAUCCCUGUUUGUAUUAUCUGAAGCCAGCUAGGCCAGCAGGCCUUGGGCCACACGCCCAGUAUUGAACAACUCGAUAAGAGACUUUAGAAAUACAAGUUUCUCUGCCCUUGGGUUUUCCUUCCUCAAUUAAGUUUCUGGGUUGGGGGGAGGGCAGCUGUGUCCUCUUGCUCAUGGUCAAGGCUUGAGAAUCCUCUUUAAAAAAAAAAAAAAAGAUUUUAUUUAUUUAUUUGACAGAGAGAGAGAGAUAGCAAGAGAGGGAACACAAGCACGGGGAGUGGGAGAGUGAGAAGCAGGCUUCCCACCGAGCAGGGAGCCCAACGUGGGGCUCGAUCCCAGGACCCUGGGAUCAUGACCUGAGCCAAAGGCAGACGCUUAACGACUGAGCCACCCAGGCGCCCCUUGAGAAUCCUCUUAAGUUGAUGGGAAGGAAACGGAGACAGCAGAAGACCAGCACCCAUCACGUAGGCCUGAAGCCUUUGUGGAUAUGGUGACACCUGCCACUAAGACACACUGUGGUCCCGUGCUGGGGCGCAGAGCUUCCAGGUUCACGGCUUAGGAGUCCUUUCCCUGCACAGCCCACGAGAUCAUAACGGACAGCGGACGGCAGACGGAGGGAGACACAGCGAGAGAGGGAACACAAGCAGGGGGAGUGGGAGAGGGAGAAGCAGGCUUCCUGCUGAGCAGGAAGCCCGAUGCAGGGCUCGAUCCCAGGACCUGGAAUCAUGACCUGAGCCGAAGGCAGAUGCUUAACGACUGAGCCACUCAGGCGCCCCGACUGGGAAUGAGUCUUACUGAGAAACUCAAAAGGAGCCACUUCACACAGGUCCCUUGACCAUCCUCAACGGAACCAACAUUCUCAGUGGCUGCAUCCACAGUAGGUUGUGACCACUAAUUAAAUUGACAUGAUUCAUAAAUCGAAAGCCUUUUUUUUUUUUUUAAGUUUAGCUUGCAUUUUUUCCCUUUUUUAUUUAAAAAAAUUAACAUUGACAUAGAACAUUAAAUUCGUUUCAGGUAUGCAACAUAUUAUUUGUAUACAUCUCAAAAUGAUGAACAGUAAGUCUAGUUAACAGUUAACAUCUACCACCUUCCGUAGUUACAAAUUUUUUUCCUUGUGAUGAGAACUUUUCAGAUCUCUUGCCUUAGCAACUUUCAAAUAUACAGUAUGGUAUUAUUAACCAUAGUCACGAUGCUGUACGUUGCAUCCCAGGUCUUAUUUUAUAGCUGGAAGUUUGUGUCUUUUUUUUUUUUUAAAGAUUUUAUUUUUAUUUAUUUGACAGAGAGAGACACAGCGAGAGAGGGAACACAAGCAGGGGGAGGGGGAGAGGGAGAAGCAGGCUUCCCGCAGAGCAGGGAGCCCGAUGCGGGGCUCGAUCCCAGGACCUUGGGAUUGUGACCUGAGCCGAAGGCAGACGCCCAACGACUGAGCCACCCAGGUGCCCCGGAAGUUUGUGUCUUUUGACCCCCUUCACCCAUUUCUCCCAUCCCCCAACCUCCACCUCUGGAAUCACCAAUAUGUUCUCUGUAUCUAUGAGCUUUUUUUUAGUAUUAUUACUAGAUUCCACAUGUAAGUGAGAUCAUACAGUAUUUGGCUUUGACUUGUUUCACUUAGCAUAAUGCUCUCGAGGUCCAUCCAUGUUGUUGCAAGUGGUAAGACUUUCUUCCUUUUAUGACUGCAUAAUAUUCCGAUGUGUGUGUAUGAGUGUAUGUGUGUGUGUGUAUACACACAUGCACACCCCACAUUUCUUUACCCAUUCAUUCUUCAGUGGUCACUUAGGUUGUUUCCCUGUCUUGGCUAUUGUAAAUAAUGCUGCAGUGAAUAUGGGGGUUCAGGUAUCUUUUUGAGGUAGUGAUUUCCUUUAGAUGUAUACCAGAAGUGGAAUUGUUGGAUCACAUGGGAGUUCUAUUUUUAAUUUUUUGAGGGCCCUCCGUGCUGUUUUCCCUAGUGCUUGCACUAGUUUAUAUCCCACCAACAGUGUACGAGGGUUCCUUUUCUCACCCACACUUGUUAUUUCUUGUCUUUGUGAUGAUAGCCAUUCUAACAGGUGUGAGGUGAUGUCUGAUUGUGGUUUAAAUUUGCAUUUCCCUGAUGAUUUGUGAUGGUGGCUAUCUUUUCAGGUACUUGUUGGCCAUCUGUACGUCUUCGGAAAAAUGUCUAUUCAGAUCUGCCCAUUUUUUUAAUUGGAUUUCUUUUUUUUUGUUAUUGUGUUGUGUGAGUUCUUUAUAUAUUUCAAAUAUUAAUGCCCUAUCAGAUUUGCAAAUAUUUUCUCCCAUUCGGUAGUUUGCCUUUUCAUUUUGUUGGUUUCGUAUGCGGUGCGGGAACUUUUUAGUUUGAUGUAGGUGAUUAUUUUUGCUUUUGUUGCCUUUGCUUUCGGGUAUCACAUUAAAAAAUGUCAUUGCUGGGCGCCUGGGUGGCUCAGUCGUUGGGCGUCUGCCUUCGGCUCAGGUCAUGAUCCCAGGGUCCUGGGAUCAAGUCCCACAUCGGGCUCCCUGCUCGGCAGGAAGCCUGCUUCUCGUUCUCCCACUCCCCCUGCUUGUGUUCCUGCUCUCGCUCUCUCUCUGUCAAAUAAAUAAAUAAAAUCUUUAAAAAAAAAAAAUGUCAUUGCUGGGCGACUGGGUGGCUCAGUUGGUUAGGCGACUGCCUUUGGCUCAGGUCAUGAUCCUGGAGUCCCAGGAUCGAGUCCCAUAUCGGGCUCCUUGCUCGGCAGGGGGUCUGCUUCUCCCUCUGACCCUCCCCCCUCUCAUGUGCUCUCUCUCUCUCAUUCUCUCUCUCAAAUAAAUAAAUAAAAUCUUUAAAAAAAAAGUCAUUGCCAAGACCUAUGUCAAAGAGCUUAUCGCAUAUUUUUUCUAGUUUUGUGGUUUCUGGUCUUACAUUCAAGUGUUUAAUCCAUUUUUAGUUAAUUUUUGUGUAGGGUGUAAGAUAGUGGUCCAGUCUCAUUGUU